GUGCUCGCUUCGGCAGCACAUAUACUAAAAUUGGAACGAUACAGAGAAGAUUAAUUAGCAUGGCCCCUGGGCAAGGAUGACACGCAAAUUCGUGAAGCGUUCCAUAAUUUU
Molecule: small nuclear RNA, 111 nt
Filed under: Meriones unguiculatus (Mongolian gerbil)
Lineage: Eukaryota; Metazoa; Chordata; Mammalia; Rodentia; Muridae
Source: RNAcentral